AAAGGACCAUGCUGCCUCAGUUUUCCCCUCAAAAGUUAACAUGCACUACAGAUGAUCCACACACUACCAGGCUGGUACAUCAUGCUCAAUUCCUCUCAAUCCCUUUUGUCAGCUUCUAGGACAGCGUGUGUGGCUGGCUGGCUACGUGUGGGGAUGCUGCAGAUUGCUGCAGAGCCAUGUCAGGAAGAUCCACCACAAAACCUGGACUGGAGUUCAGUCUGCAGCUCAGGAACAGGACCAGGACCAGGAGACGGACCACAGGCAGAUGUGAGAGUAAUACUCUGAGUUUGAAUGGUCCUUUGCACAUGUUUUCUUCCCAUUGGUCCAGGGUCCUGGGCUUAUAGCACUGCAGCCUUGCAGGUACAACAUAUAAGGGUGCUCUCCACCUGCACCAGGUUUCACCUCAGGCCCUGCACACUGGAGAGAGGAAACUUGGAGAGCAAUAGAUACAAGAGGAGGGACAGUUCUGCAUGAAUGCUGUACACCUUCAGUCACUGCUGCAGGACAGUCACAUCCACCAGAUGGCAGCAUAAUACAAGCCUGAGAACAGGGCAAACCAAAACACCAUGAAAACAAUUCUGUCCUAUACACAGUAUUCACCACCAGAGAGCCCUGUACAUGAUAAUGAUGAUAUUAUCACUUAGGAUAUAUACAGUGUGCGCACAUCCUGUAUAUAUUCAUAAUAUUUCAAAUAUUUGUAUAAAAACAUAAUGUAUGCUUACAUGGAUAUACUCUACUGUCUUAUGUGGCACA
Sebastes umbrosus (honeycomb rockfish) is the source of this 753-nucleotide long non-coding RNA. RefSeq lists it as uncharacterized. NCBI's taxonomy places the organism in Eukaryota, Metazoa, Chordata, Actinopteri, Perciformes, Sebastidae. The transcript is spliced from 4 exons. The record is from RefSeq and is a predicted model, not a curated record.